This 441-nucleotide ribosomal RNA is filed under the name Clavibacter sp. PD5687. RNAcentral's name for it is "bacterial SSU rRNA". It matches the Rfam family "Bacterial small subunit ribosomal RNA", at positions 18 to 457 of the family's 1533-position model. RNAcentral also lists the same sequence under 1 other name. The record is from RNAcentral. Lineage: Bacteria; Bacillati; Actinomycetota; Actinomycetes; Micrococcales; Microbacteriaceae.
CCUGGCUCAGGACGAACGCUGGCGGCGUGCUUAACACAUGCAAGUCGAACGGUGAUGUCAGAGCUUGCUCUGGCGGAUCAGUGGCGAACGGGUGAGUAACACGUGAGUAACCUGCCCCCGACUCUGGGAUAACUGCUAGAAAUGGUAGCUAAUACCGGAUAUGACGACUGGCCGCAUGGUCUGGUCGUGGAAAGAAUUUCGGUUGGGGAUGGACUCGCGGCCUAUCAGGUUGUUGGUGAGGUAAUGGCUCACCAAGCCUACGACGGGUAGCCGGCCUGAGAGGGUGACCGGCCACACUGGGACUGAGACACGGCCCAGACUCCUACGGGAGGCAGCAGUGGGGAAUAUUGCACAAUGGGCGCAAGCCUGAUGCAGCAACGCCGCGUGAGGGAUGACGGCCUUCGGGUUGUAAACCUCUUUUAGUAGGGAAGAAGCGAAAGU